Long non-coding RNA from Callithrix jacchus (white-tufted-ear marmoset), 1082 nucleotides. RefSeq lists it as uncharacterized. Lineage: Eukaryota; Metazoa; Chordata; Mammalia; Primates; Cebidae. The record is from RefSeq and is a predicted model, not a curated record.
UGAAACUCCAUCUCAAAAAAAAAAAAGUACACAAUAGAGUAGGCUAGAGUUGAAUUAGAAAAUAUACGAGUUUAAGGCAGUUAAUGAAGCUAAAUAUUGUUUUACAAAACUUUUGUUUCAGUUAUAUGUAUGUUUAUGUGUACCAAUCAUAUAUAAAAUGGAUUUCUUUCUGUAGGUCAUAGUCAGCAAAGUUCAAGAAACACUAAUGCAGAGGAAAAUAUCCUGAAGGUGGGUUUCGAGCUGCCAUCUUGAACUGUGAGGUGGGAAAUGCGUGCUGAGGAGGGUGGAGCUUGGGUGGCCAAACCCAUGCAAGAGCCAUACCAGCCCAGCAAUGGAUCUUCCACAGGACGGACAAAGAAAGGAAGAAACUUCUGUCUCAUGCCAUCAGCAAGAUGCAACCUGCUCUGACCCACCAGCCUGGUUCUGCUCACCAUGCCACCGAAAUCCAGCAGGCUCCUUGGCAAUGAGAAGAUGCAACUGUGUUAGCCGUGGUUUUCUGCAGAAGGACUGGCCCUGGCCCUCACCACAAACAUGAACCCUGCAUUGAGCCUGAGUUAUUGCCCUGAUGCUGAGAGCAAAAUUAAUUCUGUUUCAAAAAAAAAUAAAUGCUUUCUGAGAAACUAAGAGGAAAGUGAUGCCACCCCAUAUCUUGCUACCCAGCUGGGCGGGGACCCUGUGAGCUGUCAGCACCAGUAUGGGAGAAGUGGGGUGGAAGAGAGCCCAGGCCAAGGUCAGAUACAGACAAGAACAGAGGCAAGUCUCCAAGUCCGGGAUGCGGAGCUGUCCGCACCACAGGGCAUUGGGCAAGCUCAGGAUGGAGUCAACAGCUGGAGGUGCCAAGUUGGAGCAAGGGCACUCUGUGGGCAUCCAAGAGCUGAGCUGCAAGGAUGGGAGAAGGGGUCAGCAGAGAGUAAGGGCACGCUACCCCCUUUCUUUGCCUGAUUUACCACUACUCAUCUUUUGUACCUUGGCUCAGACCCCAUUUUAUCUCAAGAGAGGCCAUCGUCCUGCGAUUCUCCUCCACAGCACCUACCACUGAAGUGAGUUAAUUGGGAACUGAUUUUGGAGUCCUCCCUGCCAGA